UACGUAGGGGGCGAGCGUUGUCCGGAUUUAUUGGGCGUAAAGGGCGUGUAGGCGGCCGCGUAAGGGUGGGGUGAAAUCUCCCGGCUCAACUGGGAGGGGUCCUUGCCGACUGCGUAGCUUGAGGCUGGUAGGGGCACAUGGAAUUCCCGGUGUAGUGGUGAAAUGCGUAGAGAUCGGGAGGAACACCGGUGGCGAAGGCGGUGUGCUGGGCCAAGCCUGACGCUGAAACGCGAAAGCGUGGGGAGCGAACUGG
RNAcentral lists this ribosomal RNA (253 nucleotides) under uncultured bacterium. RNAcentral's name for it is "partial 16S ribosomal RNA". It matches the Rfam family "Bacterial small subunit ribosomal RNA", at positions 524 to 776 of the family's 1533-position model. The record is from RNAcentral.